UAAGACAGGGGGCUCGAGCGUUAAUCGGAAUCACUGGGCUUAAAGGGUGCGUAGGCGGAUCGGUAAGCGUCCCGUGAAAUCCCCCGGCUCAACCGGGGAACUGCGAGACGUACUGCCGAUCUUGAGGAAGCUAGAGGCGGGUAGAACGAUAGGUGGAGCGGUGGAAUGCGUAGAUAUCUAUCGGAAUGCCGAAAGUGAAGACAGCCCGCUGGGGCUUUCCUGACGCUAAAGCACGAAAGCGUGGGGAGCAAACCGGAUUAGAUACCCGGGUAGUCCACGCCCUAAACGAUGUGCACUAGACCGGAGCGGCUCUGACGCCGUUCUGGUCGUAGAGAAAUUGUUAAGUGCACCGCCUGGGUAGUACGGUCGCAAGGCUA
RNAcentral lists this ribosomal RNA (377 nucleotides) under uncultured bacterium. RNAcentral's name for it is "bacterial SSU rRNA". It matches the Rfam family "Bacterial small subunit ribosomal RNA", at positions 521 to 896 of the family's 1533-position model. The record is from RNAcentral.